Molecule: long non-coding RNA, 412 nt
Filed under: Ananas comosus (pineapple)
Lineage: Eukaryota; Viridiplantae; Streptophyta; Magnoliopsida; Poales; Bromeliaceae
Description: long non-coding RNA (ACOM_LNC015441)
Source: RNAcentral
UAUAUAUGUAUUUCUAUAAAAUUUAACUUUUACAUGUUAUUUCUGUAAAAGUUCUGAUAUUUUCAAAUAUAUCCCUGUCGUUAAGAUCCGCUAGAAAAACUUAGUUAAUCAUAGGUAAAAUACUUAACCCUAAUUAGUUAAUAAGGUAAAUUAUAUUGACUUUUUCUUUCUUUUUAAUUAACAGUUGUGACUUUUCGAGUGACAUAUUUAUGAUGGUAAAGAGAUUAUUUUAUUUAUAAAAUAAAUAAUAGUUUAGCGGUAACAAAUCAGAGGGACAUAUUUAAAAAUAUUAGAACUUUUGUAAAAAUAAUACAUAAAAAUUAAAUUUUAUGGAAAUAUAUUUGUAAUUUUUUAUGUUUAUAUAACGAACUGUAAAAAAUUAACCCUAAAAUAUAUUAUGAAUAAUUUUACA